RNAcentral lists this small nuclear RNA (18 nucleotides) under Arabidopsis thaliana (thale cress). RNAcentral's name for it is "snRNA_07625". Lineage: Eukaryota; Viridiplantae; Streptophyta; Magnoliopsida; Brassicales; Brassicaceae. The record is from RNAcentral.
AUAGCGAACAAGUACCGC